UUGCUCGUGGCGGAAGCGGGUAGACGUGCCGGACUGUUAAUCCGGGGCCGAAAGGCGUGCAGGUUCGAGGCCUGCCGGGCAAGCCA
Molecule: transfer RNA, 86 nt
Filed under: Brevundimonas phage vB_BgoS-Bajun
Lineage: Duplodnaviria; Heunggongvirae; Uroviricota; Caudoviricetes
Description: tRNA-Asn
Rfam family: tRNA
About the family: Transfer RNA (tRNA) molecules are approximately 80 nucleotides in length. Their secondary structure includes four short double-helical elements and three loops (D, anti-codon, and T loops).
Source: RNAcentral